Molecule: transfer RNA, 71 nt
Filed under: Loxodonta africana (African savanna elephant)
Lineage: Eukaryota; Metazoa; Chordata; Mammalia; Proboscidea; Elephantidae
Rfam family: tRNA
About the family: Transfer RNA (tRNA) molecules are approximately 80 nucleotides in length. Their secondary structure includes four short double-helical elements and three loops (D, anti-codon, and T loops).
Source: Rfam by way of RNAcentral
GCAUUGGCGGUUCAAUGGUAGAAUUUUUGCCUUCCAUGCUAGAAGCCCAAGUUUAAUUCCUGGCCAAUGCA